UCAUCGGUUGUAUUCGCAACCAUUAUCAUGUACAAUAAAUAUGUG
Non-coding RNA from Haemonchus contortus (barber pole worm), 45 nucleotides. NCBI's taxonomy places the organism in Eukaryota, Metazoa, Nematoda, Chromadorea, Rhabditida, Trichostrongylidae. The record is from Rfam.